CUGGAUUAGAGCUUCAACUUUCCUACACUCUUCGUCAGCAGAAUCCUGUUGGAUAUACUGUGCCUAUCCAGCUUCCUGUGAUUAAUCAAGUAUUCAGUAGUAACCGUGCUGUAAAAAUAUCACCCAACUGUCCAGUGGCAAGAAUACGGCCUUUUGCUGGAAAAUAUAUGCCUGGAGAGGUGGUUGCUGUUCGAGUUCCACUUCUUCAUCUCUCUAAUUUCCAAAUUAAUGAUUGGCCUGAGCUUUCUACCAAACGCUAUGCUUUGAUGGUUUUAAUGCUUCCCUCAGAUAGUGCAAGGCAGUGGCAUGCUUAUGAGUUGGAGCUUGUUGAAGUAGUUGCUGACCAGGUGGCUGUUGCUCUAUCACAUGCUGCUAUCUUAGAAGAGUCGAUGAGGGCAAGGGAUCUUCUUAUGGAGCAGAAUGUUGCACUUGAUCUUGCAAGGAGAGAAGCAGAAACAGCUAUCCGUGCUCGUAAUGAUUUCUUAGCUGUCAUGAACCAUGAAAUGAGAACUCCCAUGCAUGCAAUUAUUGCACUUUCUU
RNAcentral lists this unclassified non-coding RNA (540 nucleotides) under Hevea brasiliensis (rubber tree). The record is from RNAcentral. Lineage: Eukaryota; Viridiplantae; Streptophyta; Magnoliopsida; Malpighiales; Euphorbiaceae.